Non-coding RNA from Blastosporella zonata, 86 nucleotides. The record is from the annotation of a GenBank genome assembly. Lineage: Eukaryota; Fungi; Basidiomycota; Agaricomycetes; Agaricales; Lyophyllaceae.
UCCCUCUUAGCUCAGUGGUAGAGCGCGUCACUAGUAAUACACAUUGUGAAAUGACGAGGUCAGUCGUUCAAGUCGGCUAGAGGGAA